Molecule: ribosomal RNA, 253 nt
Filed under: uncultured bacterium
Lineage: Bacteria
Description: partial 16S ribosomal RNA
Rfam family: Bacterial small subunit ribosomal RNA
Source: RNAcentral
CACGUAGGGCGCAAGCGUUGUCCGGAAUUAUUGGGCGUAAAGAGCUCGUAGGCGGUCUGUUGCGUCCGCUGUGAAAACUCGGGGCUUAACCCCGAGCCUGCAGUGGAUACGGGCAGACUAGAGGUAGGUAGGGGAGAAUGGAAUUCCCGGUGUAGCGGUGAAAUGCGUAGAUAUCGGAAGGAACGCCGGUGGCGAAAGCGAUCUGCUGGAUCUCUUCUGACGCUGAUGCGCGAAAGCCAGGGGAGCAAACGGG